UUCUAUUAGCCACUAAUUAAUAGUAAAAUCUGCUCAAUGAAAAUUUAAAUAGCCGCAUAUGUGCUAAGGUAGCAUAAUCAUUUGUCUUUUAAUUAAAGACUAGAACAAAAGAUUUAACUUUUAAAUUAAUUUCUCAAAUUUAAUUAUUUAAAUUAUCCUAAAUGUAAAAAGACAUUUAUAUAAAAGAAAGACGAUAAGACCCUAUCGAACUUCAACUUUAGUUUAACUGGGGCAGUUAGUUAAUUAUAACUUUAAUUUAAAUAAAAUUUAAACUAGACCUAAUAAAAUUAACUUUAUAAUUAAGUUACCGUAGGGAUAACAGCGUAAUAAAAUUUUUAAGACCUUAUUUAAAGUAAAGAUGGUGACCUCGAUGUUGAUUAAUAACCUAGUCCACGCAAUAGAGCACUGAGGAAGUCUGUUCGACUUUUAAAAAAUUACA
RNAcentral lists this ribosomal RNA (439 nucleotides) under Dolomedes tenebrosus. Its description in RNAcentral is "partial 16S ribosomal RNA". The record is from RNAcentral. Lineage: Eukaryota; Metazoa; Arthropoda; Arachnida; Araneae; Dolomedidae.